GGAGGAAUACCCAAGUCCGGCUGAAGGGAUCGGUCUUGAAAACCGACAGGAGCUUAACAGCUCGCGGGGGUUCGAAUCCCUCUUCCUCCG
RNAcentral lists this transfer RNA (90 nucleotides) under Staphylococcus epidermidis. Its description in RNAcentral is "tRNA-Ser". It matches the Rfam family "tRNA". From Rfam's summary of the family: Transfer RNA (tRNA) molecules are approximately 80 nucleotides in length. Their secondary structure includes four short double-helical elements and three loops (D, anti-codon, and T loops). Further hydrogen bonds mediate the characteristic L-shaped molecular structure. tRNAs have two regions of fundamental functional importance: the anti-codon, which is responsible for specific mRNA codon recognition, and the 3' end, to which the tRNAs corresponding amino acid is attached (by aminoacyl-tRNA synthetases). tRNAs cope with the degeneracy of the genetic code in two manners: having more than one tRNA (with a specific anti-codon) for a particular amino acid; and 'wobble' base-pairing, i.e. permitting non-standard base-pairing at the 3rd anti-codon position. Lineage: Bacteria; Bacillati; Bacillota; Bacilli; Caryophanales; Staphylococcaceae. The record is from RNAcentral.